RNAcentral lists this ribosomal RNA (377 nucleotides) under uncultured bacterium. RNAcentral describes it as "bacterial SSU rRNA". It matches the Rfam family "Bacterial small subunit ribosomal RNA", at positions 523 to 898 of the family's 1533-position model. The record is from RNAcentral.
AUACGUAGGUGGCAAGCGUUGUCCGGAAUUACUGGGUGUAAAGGGCGUGUAGGCGGGAGUGUAAGUCAGAUGUGAAAACCCGGGGCUCAACUUCGGGAUUGCAUCUGAAACUAUGCUUCUUGAGUGCUGGAGAGGAAAGCGGAAUUCCUAGUGUAGCGGUGAAAUGCGUAGAUAUUAGGAGGAACACCAGUGGCGAAGGCGGCUUUCUGGACAGUAACUGACGCUGAGGCGCGAAAGCGUGGGGAGCGAACAGGAUUAGAUACCCUGGUAGUCCACGCCGUAAACGAUGGAUACUAGGUGUAGGAGGUAUCGACCCCUUCUGUGCCGGAGUUAACACAAUAAGUAUCCCACCUGGGGAGUACGGCCGCAAGGUUGAA